Molecule: long non-coding RNA, 666 nt
Filed under: Homo sapiens (human)
Lineage: Eukaryota; Metazoa; Chordata; Mammalia; Primates; Hominidae
Description: HSALNT0319432
Source: RNAcentral
GGAAGCUGAAGUCCAGAGGCUCUAUUCAGUCAAGGGGUGAUGAACUCUCUUUGGGUCUGGAGACAGGCUGGAACUGGGAUGAGAUAUGGAGACCCUGCCAUUUACGACAACGUGGAUGUAUCUGCAGGACAUUAAGACAAGUGCAAUAAGCAAGACACGGAAAGAAAAUAUAGCAUGGUCUCUCUUAUAUGUGGAAUUUUAAAAAUUAACUCUGAAUACUUUGGAUUAAACUGAUUAAAUGAAGCUGUAAGCAUCUUUGAAGUACAAAUGAUACUUGGAAAGUAAAUGAAACUGGGAAUACUUGCAAGUAAAAUAUGGGAAGUCAAAGAGAUUAAAGGAUGAGAACCAGAAAUUGCUUAUGGCCAGUGUCCUGAGUAAGCCUCAGAAUCGCAUCCUAGAAGCAUCAAGUUCUUGUGUUACCCUAUGGAUCUAAAAAACGACUUCCUUAGUUUGAUGUAGUCUGCAGACAUCUCAUCAUCACAAAAACUUGAAAGCACUUACAGCACUAAGAAACUACCUUUGCAGAUUGUAAAAAAAGAUAGAAUCCUACUUAGUGUUUUGAUCACACCUGCCUAUUUCCCCAAGGUUUUACUGCAGGGUUAAAGAAUGAAUAAGCAUCUAGUUAUAUUUAAUAAACUCCAUGCCUUAUGGCUGAUUCUAAAGGCA